RNAcentral lists this long non-coding RNA (276 nucleotides) under Homo sapiens (human). RNAcentral describes it as "non-protein coding lnc-ABCC6-8:1". Lineage: Eukaryota; Metazoa; Chordata; Mammalia; Primates; Hominidae. The record is from RNAcentral.
GCCAGGUGUGGUGGCACAUGCCUGUAAUCCCAGCUACUCAGGAGGCUGAGACAGAGGAAUUGCUUAAACCCAGGAGGCGGAGGUUGCAGUGAAACAAGAUCAUGCCAUUGCACUCCAGCCUUGGUGACAGAGAGAGACUCUGUCUCAAAAAAAAAAAAAACUUUUUUUUCUGGCGGGGGUCGGCGGGGCAAAGUCUUGUUCUCUCACCCAGGCUGGAGUGCAAUGGUGUGAUCUCAGCUCACUGAAACUUUUGACUCCUGGAUUCAAGCAAUCCUC